CAGGCUGCAACCCGCCCUGCAUGAAGUCGGAAUUGCUAGUAAUCGCGGAUCAGCAUGCCGCGGUGAAUACGUUCCCGGGCCUUGUACACACCGCCCGUCACACCAUGGGAGCCGGUAAUACCCGAAGUCAGUAGUCCAACCACGUGAGGACGCUGCCGAAGGUAGGAUUGGCGACUGGGGUGAAGUCGUAACAAGGUACC
This 200-nucleotide ribosomal RNA is filed under the name uncultured bacterium. RNAcentral's name for it is "partial 16S ribosomal RNA". It matches the Rfam family "Bacterial small subunit ribosomal RNA", at positions 1301 to 1500 of the family's 1533-position model. The record is from RNAcentral.